ACCUGAGUGGCUCAGUUGGUUGAGCAUCUGAUUUUGGCUCAGGGCGUGAUCUCAUGAACUCUUGGUUCAUGGGUUCAUCCCCUAUGUCAGGUU
This 93-nucleotide transfer RNA is filed under the name Felis catus (domestic cat). It matches the Rfam family "tRNA". From Rfam's summary of the family: Transfer RNA (tRNA) molecules are approximately 80 nucleotides in length. Their secondary structure includes four short double-helical elements and three loops (D, anti-codon, and T loops). The record is from Rfam by way of RNAcentral. Lineage: Eukaryota; Metazoa; Chordata; Mammalia; Carnivora; Felidae.